AGUCUCUUGAGAAUAAUAGGAGAUGAUUUCUGCCCGGUGAGUAUUUAAACGGCCGCAGUAUACUAACUGUGCUAAGGUAGCAUAAUCAUUUGCCUUUUAAUUGGAGGCUGGUAUGAAUGGAAUAACGUGGGAUCGGCUUUCUUAUGUUAAUAAAUUUGAAUUUUUAUUUUAGGUGAAGAUACCUAGGUGAAAUUGUUAGACGAGAAGACCCUGUUGAUCUUUAUUGAUUUUAUGGUUUUAGAUUUGAUAAAAAAAUGAUAAUGUAAAAUUAAGUUGAUUGGGGCGAUCAAGGAUAGAAAAGUAUCAUCCUUUGUUUUUGAAGAAUAAUAGUUUAUUUGAAUGAUCCAUUUUUUAUGAUUAAAAGAUUAAGUUACCACAGGGAUAACAGAGUAAUAUGUUUUGAGAGUUCAAAUCGAUAAACAUGUUUGCUACCUCGAUGUUGGAUUAAGGUUACCUAAGGGUGUAGAAGUUCUUUUGGUUAGUCUGUUCGACUAUUAAAAUCUUACAACA
Molecule: ribosomal RNA, 510 nt
Filed under: Owenia fusiformis
Lineage: Eukaryota; Metazoa; Annelida; Polychaeta; Sabellida; Oweniidae
Description: partial 16S ribosomal RNA
Rfam family: Bacterial large subunit ribosomal RNA
Source: RNAcentral